GAUGAACGCUGGCGGCGUGCCUAAUACAUGCAAGUCGAGCGAACAGACGAGGAGCUUGCUCCUCUGACGUUAGCGGCGGACGGGUGAGUAACACGUGGAUAACCUACCUAUAAGACUGGGAUAACUUCGGGAAACCGGAGCUAAUACCGGAUAAUAUAUUGAACCGCAUGGUUCAAUAGUGAAAGACGGUUUUGCUGUCACUUAUAGAUGGAUCCGCGCCGCAUUAGCUAGUUGGUAAGGUAACGGCUUACCAAGGCAACGAUGCGUAGCCGACCUGAGAGGGUGAUCGGCCACACUGGAACUGAGACACGGUCCACACUCCUACGGGAGGCAGCAGUAGGGAAUCUGCCGCAAUGGGCGAAAGCUUGACGGAGCAACGCCGCGUGAGUGAUGAAGGUCUUCGGAUCGUAAAACUCUGUUAUUAGGGAAGAACAAAUGUGUAAGUAACUAUGCACGUCUUGACGGUACCUAAUCAGAAAGCCACGGCUAACUACGUG
This 497-nucleotide ribosomal RNA is filed under the name uncultured bacterium. RNAcentral describes it as "partial 16S ribosomal RNA". It matches the Rfam family "Bacterial small subunit ribosomal RNA", at positions 28 to 507 of the family's 1533-position model. The record is from RNAcentral.